RNAcentral lists this unclassified non-coding RNA (1198 nucleotides) under Octopus sinensis (East Asian common octopus). RNAcentral describes it as "histidine-rich glycoprotein-like, transcript variant X1". The record is from RNAcentral. Lineage: Eukaryota; Metazoa; Mollusca; Cephalopoda; Octopoda; Octopodidae.
CUCCGGUCCAGUCCAGAGCAAAGCCAGCUUUCGUGGCCUCCCUGCAAGAUCUUCUUUCACCACAGCGACAUCUUUUAUUUCAACCAUGAAAACAUUCUUCCAAGCCGUAUUCCUGUUGGCCGCACUGUCGGUCAACCUCCAGGGGUCCCACUCUGCAAUGCAACAGAGUAAUUAUGAGUCUCUUCUCAGUGUGGUCCGAAGAAACGCAGGCUAUCCCAGUGAAAAAUCUCUUGUAAAACGCUCGUAUUAUCACACCUAUGGUCCUGGUGACCGUCAUACUUAUGGCCCUGGUCACGCCUACGGACAUGGCCAUACAUAUGGCCGUGGAAAACGUCAUAACUAUGCAGAUGGUCAUACAUAUGGUGCAGGAGACCAUCAUACCUACGGAUAUGGUCACACCUAUGGCCCAGGAAGACAUACCUAUGGUCCCUAUGACCGUCACUCGUACGGCCCAGGAAGACAUACUUAUGGACCCUAUGACCGUCACACCUAUGGCCCAGGAAGACAUACCUAUGGACCCUAUGACCGUCACACCUAUGGCCCAGGAAGACAUACUUAUGGACCCUAUGACCGUCACACCUAUGGCCCAGGAAGACAUACCUAUGGACCCUAUGACCGUCACACCUAUGGCCCAGGAAGACAUACUUAUGGACCCCAUGACCGUCACACGUAUGGCCCAGGAAGACAUACUUAUGGACCCCAUGACCGUCACACGUAUGGCCCAGGAAGACAUACCUAUGGACCCCAUGACCGUCACACGUAUGGCCCAGGAAGACAUACCUAUGGACCCCAUGACCGUCACACCUAUGGCCCACAUCACAGACACACAUACAAGCCAGUCUUCAAAUGUGGAAACAUUGUGUUUUUGAAUUCAUACUGUUCGUCUGUGUGUCCGGCUAGCCAUGUCCACAUUUCUGGCAUUGGUGGCUGUCCAAGAGGAACUAUUUGCUGUGCAGCAUAAGCUUGCUCAACGAUUUCAUCCUCCAGAUAAAUGAAUAUAUAUAUAUAUCUGUAUAUAUACAUAUAUAUGCCUGUGUAAAUAUAUAUGAGUCUGUAUAUUAAAUCAUAUAUACACACACACACAACCUGAUGUAAUUGGUUUAUAUGUAUAAUUUAUACAGUCUAUGAAACACACUAAAACUUAAUAUAUAUGUAUGUAUAUGCAUGUGUAUAUAUAUAUGUGAGUGUGCAUAUGCAU